This 467-nucleotide ribosomal RNA is filed under the name Salmonella enterica. RNAcentral describes it as "partial 23S ribosomal RNA". It matches the Rfam family "Bacterial large subunit ribosomal RNA", at positions 765 to 1230 of the family's 2925-position model. The record is from RNAcentral. RNAcentral also lists the same sequence under 1 other name. Lineage: Bacteria; Pseudomonadati; Pseudomonadota; Gammaproteobacteria; Enterobacterales; Enterobacteriaceae.
ACUGGAGGACCGAACCGACUAAUGUUGAAAAAUUAGCGGAUGACCUGUGGCUGGGGGUGAAAGGCCAAUCAAACCGGGAGAUAGCUGGUUCUCCCCGAAAGCUAUUUAGGUAGCGCCUCGUGAAUUCAUCUCCGGGGGUAGAGCACUGUUUCGGCUAGGGGGCCAUCCCGGCUUACCAACCCGAUGCAAACUGCGAAUACCGGAGAAUGUUAUCACGGGAGACACACGGCGGGUGCUAACGUCCGUCGUGAAGAGGGAAACAACCCAGACCGCCAGCUAAGGUCCCAAAGUCAUGGUUAAGUGGGAAACGAUGUGGGAAGGCCCAGACAGCCAGGAUGUUGGCUUAGAAGCAGCCAUCAUUUAAAGAAAGCGUAAUAGCUCACUGGUCGAGUCGGCCUGCGCGGAAGAUGUAACGGGGCUAAACCAUGCACCGAAGCUGCGGCAGCGACACUGUGUGUUGUUGGGUA